RNAcentral lists this ribosomal RNA (404 nucleotides) under uncultured prokaryote. RNAcentral describes it as "bacterial SSU rRNA". It matches the Rfam family "Bacterial small subunit ribosomal RNA", at positions 355 to 776 of the family's 1533-position model. RNAcentral also lists the same sequence under 1 other name. The record is from RNAcentral.
UGGGGAAUAUUGCACAAUGGGGGAAACCCUGAUGCAGCAACGCCGCGUGAGUGACGAAGGCCUUCGGGUUGUAAAGCUCUGUCUUUGGGGACGAUAAUGACGGUACCCAAGGAGGAAGCCACGGCUAACUACGUGCCAGCAGCCGCGGUAAUACGUAGGUGGCAAGCGUUGUCCGGAAUUACUGGGCGUAAAGGGAGCGUAGGCGGCUGUUUAAGUGAGAUGUGAAAUACCCGGGCUUAACUUGGGAAUUGCAUUUCAUACUGGAUAGCUAGAGUGCAGGAGAGGAAAGUGGAAUUCCAAGUGUAGCGGUGAAAUGCGUAGAGAUUUGGAGGAACACCAGUGGCGAAGGCGACUUUCUGGACUGUAACUGACGCUGAGGCUCGAGAGCGUGGGGAGCAAACAGG